Molecule: ribosomal RNA, 568 nt
Filed under: uncultured bacterium
Lineage: Bacteria
Description: bacterial SSU rRNA
Rfam family: Bacterial small subunit ribosomal RNA
Source: RNAcentral
CCUACGGGAGGCAGCAGUGGGGAAUAUUGCGCAAUGGGCGAAAGCCUGACGCAGCGACGCCGCGUGAGGGAUGAAGGCCUUCGGGUCGUAAACCUCUUUCAGCAGGGAAGAAGCGCAAGUGACGGUACCUGCAGAAGAAGCACCGGCUAACUACGUGCCAGCAGCCGCGGUAAUACGUAGGGUGCAAGCGUUGUCCGGAAUUAUUGGGCGUAAAGAGCUCGUAGGCGGUCUGUCGCGUCUGCUGUGAAAACCCUAGGGCCUAACUCUGGGCGUGCAGUGGGUACGGGCAGACUAGAGUGCGGUAGGGGAGACUGGAAUUCCUGGUGUAGCGGUGAAAUGCGCAGAUAUCAGGAGGAACACCGGUGGCGAAGGCGGGUCUCUGGGCCGUAACUGACGCUGAGGAGCGAAAGCAUGGGGAGCGAACAGGAUUAGAUACCCUGGUAGUCCAUGCCGUAAACGUUGGGCGCUAGGUGUGGGGUCCAUUCCACGGAUUCUGCGCCGCAGCUAACGCAUUAAGCGCCCCGCUGGGGAGUACGGCCGCAAGGCUAAAACGUUAAUGAAUUGACGG